CAUGGGCUUGUAAAGCCGGUGCCUUUUAUAGGCCCAUUUCUAUUCUUAUUAUGCCAGAUAGCAUAUUUAUUUGGGCAUGGCAUGUGGUCGUAGCUCGCGCAAGCGUGCAUGACGAAUUUCCCGUGCUCCGAACCGGGUAUCUUCUUAAUAAGGUGUCGCACUGGGCUGAAAAUUUAUUUGGACCCAACCCUAGAUUUUUUGGGCCUCAACAAUAAGUAUGAGCGGUACCUGAUCAAGCAAGGGGAGAGACCAAGAUCGUGGUUAGUAGUACCCUGUUUGGGCUUAACAACCUGAUUUGAAAUUCGUGUAACCCUCAGACUGGGUCAACAGUCAAUUCGGGCCUGGAUCUACUUCCUGUCUUUUGGACCAAUAUGGCCCUAUUUGGGCCCGAAUC
RNAcentral lists this long non-coding RNA (394 nucleotides) under Prunus persica (peach). Its description in RNAcentral is "long non-coding RNA (PPER_LNC006299)". Lineage: Eukaryota; Viridiplantae; Streptophyta; Magnoliopsida; Rosales; Rosaceae. The record is from RNAcentral.